Molecule: transfer RNA, 72 nt
Filed under: Ovis aries (sheep)
Lineage: Eukaryota; Metazoa; Chordata; Mammalia; Artiodactyla; Bovidae
Rfam family: tRNA
About the family: Transfer RNA (tRNA) molecules are approximately 80 nucleotides in length.
Source: Rfam by way of RNAcentral
UCCCUGGUGGCUCAGAGGUUAAAGCGUCUGCCUUCGAUGCGCGAGACCUGGGUUCAAUCCCUGGUCGGGAAG